UCGUCUACUAGUGAGGCUACCGAACGUUGGAAACAGCGGUUAGGAGCUUACACCCACCCGUGUUUACAUACUAUUGUAUGCUUUGGCGGGCCGUGGCCUCCACUGCGGGCUCUGCUCGUGUGUGCCCGCCAGAGAACCAAACUCUGAAUGUUAGUGAUGUCUGAGUACUAUCUAAUAGUUAAAACUUUCAACAACGGAUCUCUUGGUUCUGGCAUCGAUGAAGAACGCAGCGAAAUGCGAUAAGUAAUGUGAAUUGCAGAAUUCAGUGAAUCAUCGAAUCUUUGAACGCACAUUGCGCCCUGUGGUAUUCCGCAGGGCAUGCCUGUUCGAGCGUCAUUUAACCACUCACGCCUAGCGUGGUAUUGGGGCACGCGGUCUCCGCGGCCCUCAAAAUUAGUGGCGGCGCCGGUGGGCUCUAAGCGUAGUACAUACUCCCGCUAUAGAGUUCCCCCGGUGGCUCGCCAGAACCCCCAAUUUUUACAGGUUGACCUCGGAUCAGGUAGGGAUACUCCGUC
Molecule: ribosomal RNA, 515 nt
Filed under: Phialocephala fortinii
Lineage: Eukaryota; Fungi; Ascomycota; Leotiomycetes; Helotiales; Mollisiaceae
Description: eukaryotic LSU rRNA
Rfam family: 5.8S ribosomal RNA (bases 183-336)
Source: RNAcentral